CAGAGCACCAUCUGCUUUCAUUGUGGAGUUUCAAUAAGCGGAAAAGCAUGCAUACAUUACAUUCAUCACUCCCCAGAUAGUAACAAUGCAAAAACUGGACCUGAAACAAUAUCUGGUUCUCUUUCCACUGAAGCUGCCUGACCUGCUGAGUGCUGCCAGCAUUCUCUGUAUUUAUUUCAGAUUUCCAGCAUCUGCAGUUUUUUUUUUCUCAUUUUGCAAUCACUUUGUUUGACCUGCAGGGUGCUUGGCAGGCCAAGUUUGAAAAGGAAAAUUAGUGCUACAGUUUCAAAUGCUCAAAGGCCAAGGGGAGAAUGGACUCAAGUGUGCAUCACAUUGCUGCUUUAAGUUGUCUUGCUUUCCUCUGCAGUGUCAGGUGAUGUCAGCCAGGUUAGAAGCCUGACAAGGUCAGAUUUCUCUACCCCACGCCUGGAUUAUUAUACAGGGACAAUUCCUUUCGACUGAAAUACUUUCUUGUAAAUCGAGAGGCGGUCUUGAUUUUUCUGUCCGUACUUCUCUGCACGGGGUUUAGAUUAUUAGGCGAUGGCAAUUCAGUUUGACUGGAACGCUUCCUUUCAAAUCAGGAGCAGUGAUUAGAAGAGUUUGCAUGAGGAGCCUGCGAUGUAUCUGUCCAUCAGACAAGCUCCUGCUUUUACAGAGAGUGCCUCUGUGGAAUGCCUAGCUGCCUGGAUGCCUUGUGACUAAUCAUGUGGAUAUUCAAACAUUCACGGGAGCAGUUACACAGUAGCACGACAAGAAUAGGAUAAGUGUCUGAUCAGUAUCAGGGCCUUCCAUCUUCUGCAUUGCUUCUGUUAAAUGGGGUGGUCUAAUGUAGUUUUGUUAUUAAUGUUGUCAGCCAGGCCCAGUGGCAUUAUUUCAUGUGCAGUUGUGAAACUGACACCGAUCACCCACUUGAAUUUUUUGAUACAUUAAACACAGCAAAAACACAGAAAUCUCAUCACAAAUUAAUCGAUUCCAUUUUGUUUCUUUGCUGUCAGGUUUUCCAUUCUUAAAUCUUGCUUGUUGCAAAUCUUUGUUCUUACUGCCUUAAAAAGAAAUAAUAAUUUAUGGGAGUUUUCCUUUAAUAAGAGUUUUCAAUUCUUGUUACUCUUGGGUUGCGCAGUGGUAGAGUUGCUGCCUUACAGUGCAUUUAGUUCCAGAGACCUGGGUUCGAUCCUGACUACGGGUGCCGUCUGUACGGUGUUUGUACGUUCUCCCCGUGGCCACAUGGGCUUUCUUCGAGAUCUUCGGUUUCCUCCCACAUUACAAAGACGCACAGGUUUGUAGGUUACUUGGCUCGGCAUAAACGUAAAUUGUCCUUAAUGUGUGUAGGAUAGUAUUAGUGUGCGGGGAUCUCAGGUCGGCACGGUCCCAGUGGGCUGAAGGGCCUGUUUCCAUGCUGUAUCUCUAAAUUAAACUAAACCAUUCAGUUAUUGGGGUUUAAAAGGUUUUUAGAUAGGCGCAUGGAUGUGCAAGGAUUGGGGCAUAUGGAUUACGUCCAGACAGAAGUGAUUAGUCUAAUGUAGCAUUAUGUUUUGCACAGACAUUGUGGGCUGAAGGGCCUGUUCAUGUGUGGUCCUGUUUUAUUUUCCAUGUCCUUAUUCACCUGAUUUGCCUUGAAUCUUUAGCGAUCUAUCAGGAUUGCAACAGACUUUUAUCAAUAACAAAUUCAAUAAAAUGCUCAAAGCAUUGUUCAGUGCAAGUUAACAAAAAAGUAAGAAUCUGUAUCCCAUCAUGAGGUAAAAACUGACGAAGGGACCCAGACCAGAAACAUUAAGACUCCUUCCCUUUCCUUAGAUGUUCUGAUCUGCUGAGUGUUCACAGUGUUUUCUUUCCCAUUUCCGAUUUCCAGCCACUGCAGUUUUUUUCCAUUUUCAUCUCCAUCACUAAAAUAGUUACUUCCUUGGGGAUAAAGUUGGUGUAUUUAGUUUUUGUUCAAUGAUUAUUUGAACAAUUCACCUUUAACCUGUUUUCCUGCCGAGUUCUAGAUCACGGGAUUGGUAAAUUGCAACGGACUAAUUUGAAUCUCACACACAUGUCAAAACUGAUUGCAUUGGACAUGUUGGGGAAAUUGGGUGUAAGUUGUGUUUGAAAUGGAGGUAUUUACCUUAAAAAACAUUUCAACUUUACAUUGAAUUCACUGGGUAAGCAGAAGCACAAAUGUUUUCAUGAGCAAAUACAAUCAGCAUAAUGGGAACUUCUUUAAUUUUUCAAUUGCAGUUUUCAAAUAAAAGUGAUUCAAUUGUUUAUGAGCAUUUUCAUUUCAACCUGGAGCUACCUCAUUUAAUACUAGUUAAAAAAUAAACACCAUUGAACCAUUUACUAUUGGUGUACGUUGCUCAGUUCAUGAAUAAAUAUUAUUUGUGAUAUCUAACGUGCCUGUUAGUCACCAAUGCACUAAAAGGGCUCCUGUUUGUAGUUUGUUUGGUUUGUUUGUUUGUCUUUUUGCACAAAGUCAGCGAGCAUUGCCCCUUUUCAUUUCACUGCACAUCUUGUAUGUGUAUGUGACGAAUAAACUUGACUUGACUUGACUUGAAUCUCCUAAAAUUGCCACAAACUGGCCCCCACCACCAGAAACCCACAAUUUUCAUUAUUUGAAAAGUGGCUGCUUUUGUUUGCAAUUGCAACAUGUUAAGCCAUAGUAAAAGGUCAGAGAAUCUUGGCAUGUUUAAAAUUCCUUGAUUUUUUUAAUGCUGGUUUAGCUAACUGCAUUAAUGCAGACAGACUGCAAUAAUAAAAUCACGAUUACAGGAACUGCAGACCACAACAAUUUUGACGUGGACAUUCUGUGAAUUUCCCAUGAUGUAAAUAAUAAUGUCGUCGUGGCUAUCCCUCGAGGUCGAGUAUGAUGUCGUUCUGUUGAUUUGUGCAGCUCACAGAACGAAGACGCCUGUGCGUGUGUUUGUUUAACGUGUACUCCAAGAUCCUUCACAAAUCAAUCAACUCAUUCCAAUGGCAAGGGAACCAAGACGAUUGGAGCUGAUAGAUCUGUUGCAGCCUUCAUCGUCAUUCACAGCCGUUGAGUUCAAGAUAACUUUGCCCGCCUGGUCAGCCGUUGAGGUCUUGUAGGUUGAAUCGUUCUUAGUCUGGACCUUCAUCCUCAACCUUACCACCAUGGGUGGCCCUACCAGAAGCUGAUGCUUCCGACGGCAUAAUUCUCUCGGAAUCAUUGGGGCAUGCAAGCUUCUUCACUACAACAAGAGUUGUGUGACUCACAAAGGAGUCAUCGCUGACAGAUCGCCAGGCUAUGAGAACGCCCAACAGAUGUGCACAGUGUUUACGAAGGAACUGCAGAUGUUGGUUUAAACCGAAGAUAGACACAAAAAGCUGGAGUAACUCAGCGGGACAGGCAUCAUCUCUGGAGAGAAGGAAUGGGUGACGCUUCGGGUCGAGUCCUGAACUGACAGUUGUGUCACUGUAUUUUUGCUGGUGCUCAUUUAAUUUGCAUUCAGAGGUCUCUACUGGUGAAUUAGUCCCCAAUAUUUCAAUAUCUCAAUUUGCUUCUCUUAGACCUGGCAGCUAAUUACGUUCAUAGAAAAGUGGAUCCUUCAUGUUACUCUGGGGAUAAAUAAUGUGCAUUUGUGUAGAGCAAAUGCAAAUGGCUGUGUCAGUCUGAAGAAGGAUCCAAUGUUGUCUGUCCAAUUACCCCCCUGAUGCUGCUUAAUCCGUUGAAUUCCUUCAACACUUUGUUUUUUGUUUCACAAUUGCUGGUUUCUGGUAAUCUUAUUUAAACACACAAGCUGAAACACUAACAUUUCCAUUUUCAAAAUUUUGAGCACCUAAAACAUGUUUGUUUUAAAUUGAUUGCCUGCACCAAUAAAUGAUUUUAAGGAUGAAAUAUUCAAUUGAUUAUAUUAAAUAUGAUUCUUUUGAAAGUUAGCCAAACAUCUAUAUGAAGACUCCAACCUUUGAUUUUGUAUUUUAUUAAAAAAGAAAGUUCCCCAUCGUCUUACAUUUAUGCAUACAUAUAAUGUAUAAACAUUCUGUCAUUAUUCUUCUUUUGUUGAAUUCCUUUCAAUGCAUAUUUCUUUCUGUCUGUGAGACUAUAUUAUGCAAUCCUGCUUCUAAAUAAAGGAUAUAAUUUUUCUAAAGUUUAUAGAACACCAAAAAUGAUCCUCUGACCAUACAAAGCUAGAUAGAA
Molecule: long non-coding RNA, 4138 nt
Organism: Leucoraja erinaceus (little skate)
Lineage: Eukaryota; Metazoa; Chordata; Chondrichthyes; Rajiformes; Rajidae
Exons: 3
Source: RefSeq, a predicted model, not a curated record